GACGAACGCUGGCGGCGUGCUUAACACAUGCAAGUCGAACGGAAAGGCCCUGCUUUUGUGGGGUGCUCGAGUGGCGAACGGGUGAGUAACACGCGAGUAACCUGCCCUUGUCUUUGGGAUAACUUCAGGAAACUGGGGCUAAUACCGGAUAGGAGCUCCUGCAGCACGGGGGGGGUUGGAAAGUUUCGGCGGUUGGGGAUGGACUCGCGGCUUAUCGGCUUGUUGGUGGGGUAGUGGCUUACAAAGGCUUUGACGGGUAGGCGGCCUGAGAGGGUGACCGGCCACAUUGGGCCUGCGGUAGGCACCAGACUCCUACGGGACGCAGCAGUGGAGAAUAUUGCACAAUGGGCCGAAGCCUGAUACAGCAACGCCGCGUGCGGGAUGCCGGCCUUCGGGUUGUAAACCGCUUUCGCCUGUGACGAAGCGUGAGUGACGGUAAUGGGUAAAGAAGCACCGGCUAACUACGUG
This 468-nucleotide ribosomal RNA is filed under the name uncultured bacterium. RNAcentral's name for it is "partial 16S ribosomal RNA". It matches the Rfam family "Bacterial small subunit ribosomal RNA", at positions 28 to 507 of the family's 1533-position model. The record is from RNAcentral.